CACGACCCUUCCAAAGUGACAUCAUACACCCUCUACAGUGACAUCACCCUCUUUAUGCCGCAUUAUCUAUAACAGGCAAUGGUGUAAAUUAAAGGAUGCGGCGGAAGGCAUCAAAGACACAUUAUUCAACGCCACGUAAGAAGACACCAGCAUUAAAUGGCACAAGCCACCUUGACCAGCACUUGGUUCAGCCCCUGUCAGCAAAGCCAAUUACUGUCCCAGAUGGCACCAAGCACUUGUAGGGGAACCAGACAGAGGCAACCAGGAGUUGUGGGGGACCAGUGAGGCACUGGGGCUAGGUCUCGGGUGAAGCUGUACCACACAUAGACUUGUAUCCAGUAACCAAACACCCAUCAGCGGUGUGAAGUACAUGAGGCCCGGGAUGAAGAAUUGGCACCGACUGGCAAAAUAGUGCUGGGAUUUCAUACAUAUGGCCCGAAUACUGGUUCAGACAAAAUUUUACAAUUAUCAUUGGAAUGAAACACUAAGAAUUUUAUGGAGACUUGUACGGGGUGGUAUGUCAUCGUGUAGCCCUAAAUGUCUACUAUAAAACGCUCUAUAUUCAUCGUGCAUGUAAUUAUAUAUAGUCUCCUACCUAAUAAUAUACUGGUAAAGGGGAGAACCAGUUGGUGCAGGAAUGUGGCCUUUAUAACUAC
Molecule: long non-coding RNA, 656 nt
Organism: Hyla sarda
Lineage: Eukaryota; Metazoa; Chordata; Amphibia; Anura; Hylidae
Exons: 3
Source: RefSeq, a predicted model, not a curated record